This 449-nucleotide ribosomal RNA is filed under the name uncultured bacterium. Its description in RNAcentral is "partial 16S ribosomal RNA". It matches the Rfam family "Bacterial small subunit ribosomal RNA", at positions 354 to 796 of the family's 1533-position model. The record is from RNAcentral.
GUCGAGAAUAAUUCACAAUGGGGGCAACCCUGAUGGAGCGACGCCGCGUGGAGGAUAAGGUCUUCGGAUUGUAAACUCCUGUCAUGCGUGAACAAGGUUGCUUGGAUAAUACCUGAGCAAAUUGAUGGUAGCGCAAGAGGAAGAGACGGCUAACUCUGUGCCAGCAGCCGCGGUAAUACAGAGGUCUCAAGCGUUGUUCGGAAUCACUGGGCGUAAAGGGUGCGUAGGUGGCGUGGCAAGUCAGAUGUGAAAGCCCGGGGCUCAACCUCGGAACUGCAUCCGAUACUGCCAUGCUAGAGUACUGGAGGGGUGACUAGAAUUCUCGGUGUAGCAGUGAAAUGCGUAGAUAUCGAGAGGAAUACCAAAGGCGUAGGCAGGUCACUGGACAGUUACUGACACUGAGGCACGAAGGCCAGGGGAGCGAACGGGAUUAGAUACCCGAGUAGUCC